Molecule: RNase P RNA, 373 nt
Filed under: human gut metagenome
Description: Bacterial RNase P class A
Rfam family: Bacterial RNase P class A
About the family: Ribonuclease P (RNase P) is a ubiquitous endoribonuclease, found in archaea, bacteria and eukarya as well as chloroplasts and mitochondria. Its best characterised activity is the generation of mature 5'-ends of tRNAs by cleaving the 5'-leader elements of precursor-tRNAs.
Source: RNAcentral
UUAAACGGUCGCGUACUGCAAAGCCGAAAGGUAGCAUACGAGGAAAGUCCGGGCUCCACAGAGCAAUGAUGCUGGAUAACGUCCAGUGAGGGUAACCUUAAGGAAAGUGCAACAGAAAACAACCGCCACAUAAGGCUCCCUCAAGGCUUGGCUUUGAGAGAAAUCUUAUGCGGUAAGGGUGAAAAGGCGAGGUAAGAGCUCACCGCUUUUAUGGUGACAUAAAGGGUCAGUGUAAACCCCAUCUGGAGCAACACCGAGACAAGAAGGCUAAGACUGCUCGUCAUCUUCUUAAUUUGGUGGCUUGAGGCAUAUAGUAAUAUAUGUACUAGAUAAAUGACCGUUCUAGACAGAACCCGGCUUAUAGAUUUACUUU